This 72-nucleotide transfer RNA is filed under the name Myxococcales bacterium 68-20. RNAcentral describes it as "tRNA-Ala". It matches the Rfam family "tRNA". Rfam says of the family: Transfer RNA (tRNA) molecules are approximately 80 nucleotides in length. Their secondary structure includes four short double-helical elements and three loops (D, anti-codon, and T loops). Lineage: Bacteria; Pseudomonadati; Myxococcota; Myxococcia; Myxococcales. The record is from RNAcentral.
GGGCUUGUCUCCGAGGGGAGACGUCUGCCUUGCAAGCAGAUGGUUCGGGUGCGACUCCCGACUGGUCCACCG